RNAcentral lists this ribosomal RNA (300 nucleotides) under Triticum aestivum (bread wheat). Its description in RNAcentral is "partial small subunit ribosomal RNA". Lineage: Eukaryota; Viridiplantae; Streptophyta; Magnoliopsida; Poales; Poaceae. The record is from RNAcentral.
AUGGGGAGAAAGGCGUCGUGCAUCUCGCUUGUGAUCCUCGUGCUUGUGCUCGCUGGCCUCGAUGCGAAGUCCGCGGCUGGCUACAGCGUCGACCAGGCGGCGAUGAAGCUGGAGGACGGCGUGGCGCCGGAGCUCGGGGUGGUGACGGCGGUGGACCUGGAUGUGCGUCGACACGUUCUCCACAGCAUCAGCCCACAAUACGUGCAGGAGCCCAGCAGGCCAGCCUGCGUCGAGGGGUGCGGGGCGCGCGGAGAGCGGUACACCGGCCGGGAUUGCAAGAAAAAGUACCAGUGCGGUUAA